AAAGGUCUGUGCCUUAUAAUGAGGAGGCCUAAAACCUUUCCUCACGAGGCGCCCCUACGGGGGACAAAACCGUGAGGGACACCUGUCCAGCAGCCACGCGCUUGCAGGUGGGUCCGCCACCGUGUGAGCCAAAGCGCCCACGGUUCCCAAAGCGGACAAUACCAUAUCGCUCUGCCGAGCUGAGCUGUUCCAGCACUCUC
RNAcentral lists this long non-coding RNA (200 nucleotides) under Phoenix dactylifera (date palm). RNAcentral describes it as "long non-coding RNA (PDAC_LNC007056)". Lineage: Eukaryota; Viridiplantae; Streptophyta; Magnoliopsida; Arecales; Arecaceae. The record is from RNAcentral.